This 655-nucleotide long non-coding RNA is filed under the name Fukomys damarensis (Damara mole-rat). RNAcentral's name for it is "lncRNA (ENSFDAG00000024407.1)". The record is from RNAcentral. Lineage: Eukaryota; Metazoa; Chordata; Mammalia; Rodentia; Bathyergidae.
GGAAGAUUGGAGGCUGUGACCUGAGUGAGAUAUUAGCAAGGUGAAGCAACCCUGCUAGAUGACAAUGUCCAAUCUGAGGCCAUUGGUGUGAAAUGCUGAAAUGUAUAGGAGGUGGACAUCUUUGGAACUGAUGAGGUCUCCAAGGAAAUGGAACAUUAGCAGUAUCUGUUAUGUUGUCCCUAUGGCUCCCUCAAGAAGGUAGGAAGAACUGUUUGUGUCAAAGAUUCAAAGUGUCUAAGAAGAUGGCCAACGAGAUGAGUAAGAGACAGCUUAACAUGACUACAAACGACGAAAGUGCCUGGGAUGCAAUGAAUGUUUAAUGAAUGAAGAGAGGAAACAAAACAAGGAAGAGAAGAAAGGAAGAUAGCACAGAAGGGCCUGAAUUCUAAAGAAAACAUAAGUUUACAAUUUUUUAAAGUAAAACGAAAUGAUGUCACAAUAGGGUAAGUGGGGUCCAUAAAACUCAAUGCUGUGAGGUAUAGAGUUAUGAUUCUAAAAAGUUAUUGAAAUUAUAUUUUAAAUUUUUAAACAUUUGUAUUUAUUAAAUGUAUGGCCAAGUGGCUAAUUAGUGACCUAACUGAAGUCACCUAGCCCUCCCAAAAAAGCAAGUACUAUAAGGGGCAACCUCCCCCAAAAGAAAUACAGUUGUAGUGAG